This 49-nucleotide non-coding RNA is filed under the name Compsopogon caeruleus. The record is from RNAcentral. Lineage: Eukaryota; Rhodophyta; Compsopogonophyceae; Compsopogonales; Compsopogonaceae.
UCUAUUUUUUUUUUUUUUUUUUUUUCCUAUUUUCUUCUUCCUUAGUCUU